This 306-nucleotide long non-coding RNA is filed under the name Canis lupus familiaris (dog). RNAcentral describes it as "lncRNA (ENSCAFG00845017596.1)". The record is from RNAcentral. Lineage: Eukaryota; Metazoa; Chordata; Mammalia; Carnivora; Canidae.
CGAGAAAUAUACCUCUGCUUUUCUUCCCAACUGUCACUCUUUGAGCUGAGCAGUUCAUAGUUGAUAUUGAGUGAGUUGUCAGCUCUCUACCUAGCGUCUUUGACAAUGGACAACCUCAAUUGUUGCUGCUGCGAUGAUGUUGCCAAGGCUGUGGUGCCAGAUUUUGUCCACCGAAACUCAAGCAACGGUGAAAUCCAGUAUCGGUGCCAGUUUAGACUUGGUGAGAGAAGCAGAGACUGUACCCAGGCUCCUUAUAUCAGUCAUGGACGUCUAAUGAAGUCCAUGGGCAUCCUCUGUCCCAAAUGA